UCUUGUUCCAAUUUGGAAACAACUUAAGAUGGUAAAGUGUAGUAGUAGUAGCUUUACUUGCAGUGCUGCUUCUCUUCUUCUUAUCCACCAUUUUGGCUUUCUCUUCCUUCAAUAAUUCUGGCAUUAAUACAAAGCAGUUGGUGGAGUCAUGACUACAAUAAUUCAAACCAUUGCAAUUGGACUGACAUCAUUUGUGACCAUGCUGGAAGUGUUGAAGAGAUUAAUGGAUGGGAAUUGAAUAUUAUUUCAAAAGCAUUGCAGCUACAAAACUUGAAUGUGGCCUUCCCCAACUUGGUCUAUCUGGAUCUUCACGCAAUGGGGCUUCCCUAAAGCAUCCCCAAAGAAAUUAGUACUCACAAAACUUGAAACUCUCUUAGUGGCAGCAUUCCUUCUAUUUUUGAUCAACUGCAGAAUCUGGCCUCUGUCUCUCUUGCUUCAAACCAAAUUCAUGCAAGAGUCAUUAAAUGGUUGCAACACACCAAGCUUCAAAUCCUGUCAAACAAGCAAAAACGCACCAAAAGUAAGAAACUCGAGGAAAGAACAGCAAAAAAUGGAGACUUGUUUUCUAUAUGGAACUGUGAUGGAAAAAUUGCAUUUGAAGAUAUCAUUGAAGCAACAUAGGACUUUGAUAUCAGAUAUUGCAUAGGAAUUGGUGUCUAUGGUAGUGUGUAUAGAACACGACUUCCAAGUGGCAAAGUUGUUGCAUUGAAGAAACUUUACCAAAGAGUCUCAAAAUCCAUCUUUUUGACAAGAGUUUCCACAAUGAGAGUUGCAUGCUGUUGUCUCAGACUUUGGAACUGCUAAGCUUCUUGAUCCUGAUUCUUCAAAUCAAACAUUACAAGUUAGAACAUAUGAGUACCUUUGCACCAGCGUUGGCCUAUACAAUGACCGUGAGUCUGUGACAAAGAAGUAUGAUGUCUACAAUUUUGCAGUGGUGGCAUUGGAAGCAUUAAUGGGAAGACACCCAAGAGAGAUAAUCUUGUCUUUGUUCGACUCUUCUAACAAAAUCAUAAUGGUAAAAGAUGUCUUGGAUUCAUGUAUUCCUCUACCUUCAAAUAAAAAAGAUGUUCAGGCUAUAAUUCAUAUAGUAACGCUCGCAUUAGCAUGCUUGUGUUCUAAUCCAAAGUCAAGACCAUCAAUACAGCAAGUGACUCACGAACUUUCUACUUUCAAAGAAUCACUACUUUUGCCUUUUACUGAAAUUACAUUUUAUCUUAAUUGUGUUUGGAUUG
Molecule: long non-coding RNA, 1232 nt
Organism: Arachis stenosperma
Lineage: Eukaryota; Viridiplantae; Streptophyta; Magnoliopsida; Fabales; Fabaceae
Exons: 6
Source: RefSeq, a predicted model, not a curated record